AGCCUCAAAUUUCAUUUCAGUAGGUGAUGGGUCUCCACUGAAAGUUCGAUUAGGUCAAACCAUUAACAUGAAUCUACUCAAUGAUUCUACCUAAUGAGUGAUCAGGAUCGAGGAUGGCUCGAUCAAUCCAACCAUCAUCAGAUAGUUCAACAGAGUCAUCAUAUGAUGAAUGUUAAUUCUAUCAUUCAGAGAGAACAUC
RNAcentral lists this long non-coding RNA (199 nucleotides) under Elaeis guineensis (African oil palm). RNAcentral describes it as "long non-coding RNA (EGUI_LNC047723)". Lineage: Eukaryota; Viridiplantae; Streptophyta; Magnoliopsida; Arecales; Arecaceae. The record is from RNAcentral.